GGCGCUAUACUUUAAUUUAAAAGACCUGAUUUGCAUUCAGAUAAUGAAGAUAACUUCUAGCGCCC
This 65-nucleotide transfer RNA is filed under the name Lepetodrilus schrolli. RNAcentral's name for it is "tRNA-Ala". It matches the Rfam family "tRNA". Rfam says of the family: Transfer RNA (tRNA) molecules are approximately 80 nucleotides in length. Their secondary structure includes four short double-helical elements and three loops (D, anti-codon, and T loops). Further hydrogen bonds mediate the characteristic L-shaped molecular structure. tRNAs have two regions of fundamental functional importance: the anti-codon, which is responsible for specific mRNA codon recognition, and the 3' end, to which the tRNAs corresponding amino acid is attached (by aminoacyl-tRNA synthetases). tRNAs cope with the degeneracy of the genetic code in two manners: having more than one tRNA (with a specific anti-codon) for a particular amino acid; and 'wobble' base-pairing, i.e. permitting non-standard base-pairing at the 3rd anti-codon position. Lineage: Eukaryota; Metazoa; Mollusca; Gastropoda; Lepetellida; Lepetodrilidae. The record is from RNAcentral.